This 1808-nucleotide long non-coding RNA is filed under the name Pelobates cultripes (western spadefoot toad). Lineage: Eukaryota; Metazoa; Chordata; Amphibia; Anura; Pelobatidae. The record is from RNAcentral.
GGUCAAAAUAUCUUCAUUUGCUUUUUAUACAAUCUGCUAAUUAGAUUUUAAAAAUGUAUUAAUGCAUGAUCAAGACAAAAAUGUAAGUUCUACAUAAUGAUGAAAAUAUAUUUAUAUAUUUUAAACAUACCAGCUGUUUAAUUAAUAAAAAUACGUCUUUUCCUGUUUUGAGACUUGUUGUAAGUAUGAAUAUUAUUACUAUGGUAUUUAAUUGUUAAAGGGACACUCCAGACCCCUAAAGCACUUUAGCUUGAUGAAAAGCUUUAAGUGUGAAGAGUGUGUCAUCUUUAUUUCAUUUUGCAAAAAGUGCAGAUUUCAGUAGAAAUUGGCACUUUUAUGAAGUAACCUGGUUGCACCUCGCUGGCUGUCAAACAGGUCCUUUUACUUCCUGGUUGGUUAGCUCAUUGGAACUAAACUUAGAUGGAUCAAUUGCCCAGAGCACCUGCCUGGCAAAGACUUCUCAAUGAGCUGCAUUGGGAAGUCUGUGAUCGUACAGCCACAAAGUCUGGGCAGGUUUAAAGGGGGAGGAAUUGCAACAGCAGAACUGCAACUUUUGCAAGCUAUUUUUAGAAAAAAUGCUUUUCAUUUGGGGUAUAUCUUCUAAACAGUGAUAUUCAUUUUGUAUUUGGGCAAUGGAGUGUCCCUUUAAAGGUACGAUAAUGAUUUUCAUAACUAAGUAUAGUUAAAAUUACACAAAAAUUGGUUUCUACAUGUGGCUGUUUUAAGAAUCCAGAGAUUUUAUUGCAGCAUUUUACCUCUAUUGUAAUGUUUGACAUUGAUCUGAAUUCUUUGCAGUUACUGAAAUAAUUACUUAUUAAGCAAAUCUAAAGUAUUUAAGAGCAUAAAUAUAAGUGGUUUCCUGUUACAGAGAGAAAGUAUACAAUGCAUUCACAGUUUAUUUCAAAGUAAAAUGGGUGUUAGUUUUCAAUUGCUGUCUAAAUUAUCUUGAAAUAACACAGACACCGAAUUAUCACUAUUCUUCUUUGUGAAUACAUUGGCGUUCUUUUCCUGCAGUGCUGUAAAAAGGAAUCCAAUAUUACAUAUUCAUUUUUUUAUGCAGAAAAUAAUAUCAUUAUCAUUUUAAUGAACUCGAAACACCCAAUGUGAUGGCUAACGGUAAUGCUAAAAUUAAGAUUUCCUGAAGAUUUGGUGAUUUGUAAUAAAAAGCUAUGAUAUAAUAAAGCUGGAUGAUAGGCACCCGUGACCUUCCAACAGAAUGGGAUUUUGAAAGAAAUGCCUCUAUUAUUUCUAUUAAACUUUUCAGUAUAUUUUUAAGACUUUUUAGAAGAGCAGAACAUUACCAAUGAAGAAAAAUACAUCGGAUGUGAGACAGCUAAUUAGCGCGAUGUGUUAAGAAAUACCAGUUAGGUCCUGGCAUGCCCAGCUUUCUUACAAUUUAAAGGGACACUGUUGGUGCUAUAACCACUUCAAUGGAUUAAUGUGUUUGUGUGGAAUUCAAACACCAGGUCCCGCGUCAAUGUUAAACGUUUUACUUGCCGUUUAGCAGAGAUGCUAAAUUCCUGGAAGCCUGCACUAUGGCACCCAGUCACAAUAUGGCAAAGGUGUUGUUAUGCUCUGCUUUACGUCGAUACUAGGGGGUAGUGGGAAGUGACAAGCUAAAAGUAUCAGCUAAACAUGUUCAGCAUUUCACAGCCCCAAUCCCUGGUAUGAAUUGGUAUGGCAUGAGGCAGACUCCAGGCACCAUAACAACUUCAAUCCACUGAAGUGCUGAUGGUGAAUACAGUGUCCAUUUAAAGCACCUUUAAGUGAUAUCAAAAUGACAAUAAUAAAGAUAAAUGCCAGUUGAA